RNAcentral lists this ribosomal RNA (201 nucleotides) under uncultured bacterium. Its description in RNAcentral is "partial 16S ribosomal RNA". It matches the Rfam family "Bacterial small subunit ribosomal RNA", at positions 328 to 539 of the family's 1533-position model. The record is from RNAcentral.
ACGCUCGACACCUACGGGAGGCAGCAGUGGGGAAUAUUGGGCAAUGGGCGCAAGCCUGACCCAGCAACGCCGCGUGAAGGAAGAAGGCCCUCGGGUUGUAAACUUCUUUUAACAGGGACGAAGUAAGUGACGGUACCUGUUGAAUAAGCCACGGCUAACUACGUGCCAACAGCCGCGGUAAUCUGAGCGGGCUGGCAAGGC